Long non-coding RNA from Motacilla alba alba, 1384 nucleotides. RefSeq lists it as uncharacterized. The record is from RefSeq and is a predicted model, not a curated record. The transcript is spliced from 4 exons. NCBI's taxonomy places the organism in Eukaryota, Metazoa, Chordata, Aves, Passeriformes, Motacillidae.
CUCAGAGUCAGCAGAGGCUGGAGAGAUCUGUGACUGAUGAGUUCUGCUGCCCAGCACACAGGAACAGGGUCCAGGCAAUGCCCUCCAGCACUGGCUGUGCUCUGCCACUUGCUGUGAUGUCUUUCUGAUAGCAGAUGCUCCUGGAGUCAGAGCUGGAUAUCAACAUUUCCCAUGAAGAGGGUUCUCCUAUAGCAUUACUCUGGUGCACAGGGACCACAGAAUAAGGCUGGAGAGAAGCACCCGGAGUGAUGCCAAUUUCCUGCUCGGUUUCCCAGCCAGGAACACCAGGAGGAUGUCUUGAGGAAGCUGCUGACACCUCUUCCCUCCCCAGCUCUCUCACUGUCCCCCAUGGGGUCACUGGCAACGCAGACCAGGCUGGUCCUGCUCUGGCUCUGAACAGGCAGUUUCUCCCCCACACAUCUAUUAUACAAACUCAUGCAGCUGCUUGGCAAGGAGGGGCUGUGCACUCCUGGAAGCAGAAACACCAGAGCUGCUGGGAGACAAGGCAGAGAGAGGAGGCAAAAGGCUGAGAUGAGGAUGAAGCACCAGAGACAGCCCCAUCCUGGCAUGCCAGUAGGCAACUAAAUAAUUGAAAUAUUUCCUGUCAUGUUGCCAUGUUUUCAUCGUGUCCCUUACGAAAAAACACUGCACAUUAUGAUGCUAUAAAUCCUUAUUAUCUGUAUAUACACAAGCAGGAGCUCCCCAUUACCCAAAAGAAGGGUGAAUCCCAUGAGGCACAUUAAUGGCCUUGAAAACUCCUCCUGUUAUCUUAAACCUUGCUUAUUCGACCUUAUUUAGUACAUGAUGGUGGGAUAAUUGAAGCUGUCCCUGUGUUUUUUUACAAAGUGCAAUAACUACAUUAGCAUCUGCAGCUCCAUUUCCUUAUUGCACAGAUAUUGAUGCCUCCUGGAAAGCCUUGUGAAAUCCUCUGCUUGGGGACAGUUCCACUGCUCUGCAUUUUCGGGGCACGUUAGCUGGGGGUUCCUGUUUGUAGCAUUUUUAGCAGGAGAGCAGGAUUGCUGCUUCUCACAAACCCAUCUGCUCCUGCUGCUCAUUCACAACCUGGAGCCACAGACUCCUGUCAUCUCCCUGUCACUUUGGAAAAUAAUAACUGUGGGAGGACAAUAUAAUGGAUUGUUCACUGGCAUAUUCCUAGAUAUUAAAGGUGCAAUUUGGGGGUUGGUUCCAGAAAAAUGGAAAAUUAUUUUAUAUGGGUUUAACAUAAUUAUGAGCAAAUUAGGCCUGAUCCUCAUCUCACUUGGGUCUACAUUCACUCACAGCUCGUGGAGCUGGCUGGUAUUUUUAGAAUGUGAAGUCUUCUGUAACAUUUUUUACAACAGAGGUAAUUUGGAGAGAAAAGUUCUGUAAUUUUCCUGGGCUUUUU